This is a non-coding RNA of Podarcis lilfordi (Lilford's wall lizard), 75 nucleotides long. The record is from the annotation of a GenBank genome assembly. Lineage: Eukaryota; Metazoa; Chordata; Lepidosauria; Squamata; Lacertidae.
GAAGGCCUGUAGUUCAGUGGGAGAGCAUUAGCCCUGCAUGCCUAAACUCACAGGUUCAAUCCCUGGUGUCUACCA